AUGGAUCCUUGUGCCAUGGCAUCACUGGAUCCUAGGGAUCCUUGUGCCAUGGCAUUACCAGAUCCUAGGGAUCCUCGUGUCACUGCACCACCAGAUCCUGGGGAUCCCUGUGCCACAGCAUCACCAGAUCCCACGCAUCCUCAUGCUACAGCAUCACCCGAUCCUAGGGAUCCCCAUGCCACGGCACCACCAGAUCCUAGGGAUCCCCGUGCCACAGCAUCACCAGAUCCUAGGGAUCCCCAUGCCACGGCACCACCAGAUCCUAGGGAUCCUUGUGCCAUGGCAUCACCAGAUCCUAGGGAUCCCCAUGCCACAGCAUCACCAGAUCCUAGGGAUCCCUGUGCCACAGCAUCACCAGAUCCCACACAUCCCCAUGCCACAGCAUCACCAGAUCCCACGCAUCCCCAUGCCACGGCACCACCAGAUCCUGGGGAUCCCCGUGCCACCGCUCCACUGGAUUUCAGGGAUCCCGAUGACGAAACCCCCCUGGAUCCCACCCGCCCUCACCCCAUCACCCCCCAACGUCCGGAUCCCGCCCCCCCCCCUCCCCGCCGCCUGUUAUGGGGACUCUAUGGGGUGCUAUGGGGAGUUAUGGGGUGCUAUGGGGUCUCUAUGGGGUGCUAUGGAGUGUUAUGGGGUGCUAUGGGGUGUUAUGGGGUGCUAUGGGGACUGUGGGGUUUUAUGGGGUGUUAUGGGGACUCUAUGGGGUGCUAUGGGGAGUUAUGGGGUGCUAUGGGGUCUCUAUGGGGUGCUAUGGAGUGUUAUGGGGUGCUAUGGGGUGUUAUGGGGUGCUAUGGGGACUGUGGGGUUUUAUGGGGUGUUAUGGGGACUCUAUGGGGUGCUAUGGGGUUUUAUGGUGUGCUAUGGGGUGCUAUGGGGGGUUAUGGGGUGCUACGGGGUGCCAUGAGGUCUCUAUGGGGUGCUAUGGGACGCUAUGAGGUGUUAUGGGGUGCUUUGGGGUCUCUAUGGGGUGCUAUGGGGACUGUGGGGUUUUAUGGGGUGCUAUGGGGUUUUAUGGCAUGCUAUAGGGUGCCAUGGGGUCUUUAUGGGGUGCCAUGGGGACACUGUGGGGCGUUAUGGGGACACUAUGGGGUUUUAUGGGGUGUUUUGGGAACUGAUCUCUUCCUGGAGAUCCCUCCUCAUGCAGCGAGCCCAUAA
RNAcentral lists this long non-coding RNA (1158 nucleotides) under Chrysolophus pictus (golden pheasant). Its description in RNAcentral is "lncRNA (ENSCPIG00010001974.1)". The record is from RNAcentral. Lineage: Eukaryota; Metazoa; Chordata; Aves; Galliformes; Phasianidae.